Molecule: unclassified non-coding RNA, 254 nt
Filed under: uncultured Acidimicrobiia bacterium
Lineage: Bacteria; Bacillati; Actinomycetota; Acidimicrobiia
Description: contains 16S-23S intergenic spacer region
Rfam family: Bacterial small subunit ribosomal RNA
Source: RNAcentral
CACGUAGGGGGCAAGCGUUGUCCGGAUUUAUUGGGCGUAAAGAGCUCGUAGGCGGCUUGGUAAGUCGGUUGUGAAAACUCAGGGCUCAACUCUGAGAGGCCAGCCGAUACUGCCAUGGCUAGAGUCCGGUAGAGGAGUGUGGAAUUCCCAGUGUAGCGGUGAAAUGCGCAGAUAUUGGGAGGAACACCAACGGCGAAGGCAGCACUCUGGGCCGGCACUGACGCUGAGGAGCGAAAGCGUGGGGAGCGAACAGG